RNAcentral lists this ribosomal RNA (2773 nucleotides) under Escherichia coli. RNAcentral's name for it is "bacterial LSU rRNA". It matches the Rfam family "Bacterial large subunit ribosomal RNA". The record is from RNAcentral. Lineage: Bacteria; Pseudomonadati; Pseudomonadota; Gammaproteobacteria; Enterobacterales; Enterobacteriaceae.
AGCGUACACGGUGGAUGCCCUGGCAGUCAGAGGCGAUGAAGGACGUGCUAAUCUGCGAUAAGCGUCGGUAAGGUGAUAUGAACCGUUAUAACCGGCGAUUUCCGAAUGGGGAAACCCAGUGUGUUUCGACACACUAUCAUUAACUGAAUCCAUAGGUUAAUGAGGCGAACCGGGGGAACUGAAACAUCUAAGUACCCCGAGGAAAAGAAAUCAACCGAGAUUCCCCCAGUAGCGGCGAGCGAACGGGGAGCAGCCCAGAGCCUGAAUCAGUGUGUGUGUUAGUGGAAGCGUCUGGAAAGGCGCGCGAUACAGGGUGACAGCCCCGUACACAAAAAUGCACAUGCUGUGAGCUCGAUGAGUAGGGCGGGACACGUGGUAUCCUGUCUGAAUAUGGGGGGACCAUCCUCCAAGGCUAAAUACUCCUGACUGACCGAUAGUGAACCAGUACCGUGAGGGAAAGGCGAAAAGAACCCCGGCGAGGGGAGUGAAAAAGAACCUGAAACCGUGUACGUACAAGCAGUGGGAGCACGCUUAGGCGUGUGACUGCGUACCUUUUGUAUAAUGGGUCAGCGACUUAUAUUCUGUAGCAAGGUUAACCGAAUAGGGGAGCCGAAGGGAAACCGAGUCUUAACUGGGCGUUAAGUUGCAGGGUAUAGACCCGAAACCCGGUGAUCUAGCCAUGGGCAGGUUGAAGGUUGGGUAACACUAACUGGAGGACCGAACCGACUAAUGUUGAAAAAUUAGCGGAUGACUUGUGGCUGGGGGUGAAAGGCCAAUCAAACCGGGAGAUAGCUGGUUCUCCCCGAAAGCUAUUUAGGUAGCGCCUCGUGAAUUCAUCUCCGGGGGUAGAGCACUGUUUCGGCAAGGGGGUCAUCCCGACUUACCAACCCGAUGCAAACUGCGAAUACCGGAGAAUGUUAUCACGGGAGACACACGGCGGGUGCUAACGUCCGUCGUGAAGAGGGAAACAACCCAGACCGCCAGCUAAGGUCCCAAAGUCAUGGUUAAGUGGGAAACGAUGUGGGAAGGCCCAGACAGCCAGGAUGUUGGCUUAGAAGCAGCCAUCAUUUAAAGAAAGCGUAAUAGCUCACUGGUCGAGUCGGCCUGCGCGGAAGAUGUAACGGGGCUAAACCAUGCACCGAAGCUGCGGCAGCGACGCUUAUGCGUUGUUGGGUAGGGGAGCGUUCUGUAAGCCUGCGAAGGUGUGCUGUGAGGCAUGCUGGAGGUAUCAGAAGUGCGAAUGCUGACAUAAGUAACGAUAAAGCGGGUGAAAAGCCCGCUCGCCGGAAGACCAAGGGUUCCUGUCCAACGUUAAUCGGGGCAGGGUGAGUCGACCCCUAAGGCGAGGCCGAAAGGCGUAGUCGAUGGGAAACAGGUUAAUAUUCCUGUACUUGGUGUUACUGCGAAGGGGGGACGGAGAAGGCUAUGUUGGCCGGGCGACGGUUGUCCCGGUUUAAGCGUGUAGGCUGGUUUUCCAGGCAAAUCCGGAAAAUCAAGGCUGAGGCGUGAUGACGAGGCACUACGGUGCUGAAGCAACAAAUGCCCUGCUUCCAGGAAAAGCCUCUAAGCAUCAGGUAACAUCAAAUCGUACCCCAAACCGACACAGGUGGUCAGGUAGAGAAUACCAAGGCGCUUGAGAGAACUCGGGUGAAGGAACUAGGCAAAAUGGUGCCGUAACUUCGGGAGAAGGCACGCUGAUAUGUAGGUGAAGUCCCUCGCGGAUGGAGCUGAAAUCAGUCGAAGAUACCAGCUGGCUGCAACUGUUUAUUAAAAACACAGCACUGUGCAAACACGAAAGUGGACGUAUACGGUGUGACGCCUGCCCGGUGCCGGAAGGUUAAUUGAUGGGGUCAGCGCAAGCGAAGCUCUUGAUCGAAGCCCCGGUAAACGGCGGCCGUAACUAUAACGGUCCUAAGGUAGCGAAAUUCCUUGUCGGGUAAGUUCCGACCUGCACGAAUGGCGUAAUGAUGGCCAGGCUGUCUCCACCCGAGACUCAGUGAAAUUGAACUCGCUGUGAAGAUGCAGUGUACCCGCGGCAAGACGGAAAGACCCCGUGAACCUUUACUAUAGCUUGACACUGAACAUUGAGCCUUGAUGUGUAGGAUAGGUGGGAGGCUUUGAAGUGUGGACGCCAGUCUGCAUGGAGCCGACCUUGAAAUACCACCCUUUAAUGUUUGAUGUUCUAACGUUGACCCGUAAUCCGGGUUGCGGACAGUGUCUGGUGGGUAGUUUGACUGGGGCGGUCUCCUCCUAAAGAGUAACGGAGGAGCACGAAGGUUGGCUAAUCCUGGUCGGACAUCAGGAGGUUAGUGCAAUGGCAUAAGCCAGCUUGACUGCGAGCGUGACGGCGCGAGCAGGUGCGAAAGCAGGUCAUAGUGAUCCGGUGGUUCUGAAUGGAAGGGCCAUCGCUCAACGGAUAAAAGGUACUCCGGGGAUAACAGGCUGAUACCGCCCAAGAGUUCAUAUCGACGGCGGUGUUUGGCACCUCGAUGUCGGCUCAUCACAUCCUGGGGCUGAAGUAGGUCCCAAGGGUAUGGCUGUUCGCCAUUUAAAGUGGUACGCGAGCUGGGUUUAGAACGUCGUGAGACAGUUCGGUCCCUAUCUGCCGUGGGCGCUGGAGAACUGAGGGGGGCUGCUCCUAGUACGAGAGGACCGGAGUGGACGCAUCACUGGUGUUCGGGUUGUCAUGCCAAUGGCACUGCCCGGUAGCUAAAUGCGGAAGAGAUAAGUGCUGAAAGCAUCUAAGCACGAAACUUGCCCCGAGAUGAGUUCU